GACGAACGCUGGCGGCGUGCUUAACACAUGCAAGUCGAACGGAAAGGCCCUGCUUUUGUGGGGUGCUCGAGUGGCGAACGGGUGAGUAACACGUGAGUAACCUGCCCUUGACUUUGGGAUAACUUCAGGAAACUGGGGCUAAUACCGGAUAGGAGCUCCUGCUGCAUGGUGGGGGUUGGAAAGUUUCGGCGGUUGGGGAUGGACUCGCGGCUUAUCAGCUUGUUGGUGGGGUAGUGGCUUACCAAGGCUUUGACGGGUAGCCGGCCUGAGAGGGUGACCGGCCACAUUGGGACUGAGAUACGGCCCAGACUCCUACGGGAGGCAGCAGUGGGGAAUAGUGCACAAGGGGCGGAAGCCUGAUGCAGCAACGCCGCGUGCGGGAUGACGGCCUUCGGGUUGUAAACCGCUUUCGCCUGUGACGAAGCGUGAGUGACGGUAAUGGGUAAAGAAGCACCGGCUAACUACGUG
RNAcentral lists this ribosomal RNA (468 nucleotides) under uncultured bacterium. RNAcentral describes it as "partial 16S ribosomal RNA". It matches the Rfam family "Bacterial small subunit ribosomal RNA", at positions 28 to 507 of the family's 1533-position model. The record is from RNAcentral.